Molecule: ribosomal RNA, 1276 nt
Filed under: Staphylococcus aureus M0644
Lineage: Bacteria; Bacillati; Bacillota; Bacilli; Caryophanales; Staphylococcaceae
Description: bacterial SSU rRNA
Rfam family: Bacterial small subunit ribosomal RNA
Source: RNAcentral
AGAGUUUGAUCCUGGCUCAGGAUGAACGCUGGCGGCGUGCCUAAUACAUGCAAGUCGAGCGAACGGACGAGAAGCUUGCUUCUCUGAUGUUAGCGGCGGACGGGUGAGUAACACGUGGAUAACCUACCUAUAAGACUGGGAUAACUUCGGGAAACCGGAGCUAAUACCGGAUAAUAUUUUGAACCGCAUGGUUCAAAAGUGAAAGACGGUCUUGCUGUCACUUAUAGAUGGAUCCGCGCUGCAUUAGCUAGUUGGUAAGGUAACGGCUUACCAAGGCAACGAUGCAUAGCCGACCUGAGAGGGUGAUCGGCCACACUGGAACUGAGACACGGUCCAGACUCCUACGGGAGGCAGCAGUAGGGAAUCUUCCGCAAUGGGCGAAAGCCUGACGGAGCAACGCCGCGUGAGUGAUGAAGGUCUUCGGAUCGUAAAACUCUGUUAUUAGGGAAGAACAUAUGUGUAAGUAACUGUGCACAUCUUGACGGUACCUAAUCAGAAAGCCACGGCUAACUACGUGCCAGCAGCCGCGGUAAUACGUAGGUGGCAAGCGUUAUCCGGAAUUAUUGGGCGUAAAGCGCGCGUAGGCGGUUUUUUAAGUCUGAUGUGAAAGCCCACGGCUCAACCGUGGAGGGUCAUUGGAAACUGGAAAACUUGAGUGCAGAAGAGGAAAGUGGAAUUCCAUGUGUAGCGGUGAAAUGCGCAGAGAUAUGGAGGAACACCAGUGGCGAAGGCGACUUUCUGGUCUGUAACUGACGCUGAUGUGCGAAAGCGUGGGGAUCAAACAGGAUUAGAUACCCUGGUAGUCCACGCCGUAAACGAUGAGUGCUAAGUGUUAGGGGGUUUCCGCCCCUUAGUGCUGCAGCUAACGCAUUAAGCACUCCGCCUGGGGAGUACGACCGCAAGGUUGAAACUCAAAGGAAUUGACGGGGACCCGCACAAGCGGUGGAGCAUGUGGUUUAAUUCGAAGCAACGCGAAGAACCUUACCAAAUCUUGACAUCCUUUGACAACUCUAGAGAUAGAGCCUUCCCCUUCGGGGGACAAAGUGACAGGUGGUGCAUGGUUGUCGUCAGCUCGUGUCGUGAGAUGUUGGGUUAAGUCCCGCAACGAGCGCAACCCUUAAGCUUAGUUGCCAUCAUUAAGUUGGGCACUCUAAGUUGACUGCCGGUGACAAACCGGAGGGAGGUGGGGAUGACGUCAAAUCAUCAUGCCCCUUAUGAUUUGGGCUACACACGUGCUACAAUGGACAAUACAAAGGGCAGCGAAACCGCGAGGUCA